Molecule: ribosomal RNA, 497 nt
Filed under: uncultured bacterium
Lineage: Bacteria
Description: partial 16S ribosomal RNA
Rfam family: Bacterial small subunit ribosomal RNA
Source: RNAcentral
GAUGAACGCUGGCGGCGUGCCUAAUACAUGCAAGUCGAGCGAACAGACGAGGAGCUUGCUCCUUUGACGUUAGCGGCGGACGGGUGAGUAACACGUGGGUAACCUACCUAUAAGACUGGGAUAACUUCGGGAAACCGGAGCUAAUACCGGAUAAUAUUUCGAACCGCAUGGUUCGAUAGUGAAAGAUGGCUUUGCUAUCACUUAUAGAUGGACCUGCGCCGGAUUAGCUAGUUGGUAAGGUAACGGCUUACCAAGGCAACGAUACGUAGCCGACCUGAGAGGGUGAUCGGCCACACUGGAACUUAGACACGGUCCAGACUCCUACGGGAGGCAGCAGUAGGGAAUCUUCCGCAAUGGGCGAAAGCCUGACGGAGCAACGCCGCGUGAGUGAUGAAGGUCUUCGGAUCGUAAAACUCUGUUAUUAGGGAAGAACAAACGUGUAAGUAACUGUGCACGUCUUGACGGUACCUAAUCAGAAAGCCACGGCUAACUACGUG